Molecule: transfer RNA, 65 nt
Filed under: Limenitis ciocolatina
Lineage: Eukaryota; Metazoa; Arthropoda; Insecta; Lepidoptera; Nymphalidae
Description: tRNA-Ile
Source: RNAcentral
AAUAAAGUGCCUGACUAAAGGAUUAUUCUGAUAGAAUAAACUAUGUAAAUUUAUUACCUUUAUUA